Molecule: ribosomal RNA, 535 nt
Filed under: Beauveria bassiana
Lineage: Eukaryota; Fungi; Ascomycota; Sordariomycetes; Hypocreales; Cordycipitaceae
Description: partial large subunit ribosomal RNA
Rfam family: Eukaryotic large subunit ribosomal RNA
Source: RNAcentral
GAGGAAAAGGAACCAACAGGGAUUGCCCCAGUAACGGCGAGUGAAGCGGCAACAGCUCAAAUUUGAAAUCUGGCCCUCGGGUCCGAGUUGUAAUUUGUAGAGGAUGCUUUUGGCGAGGUGCCUUCCGAGUUCCCUGGAACGGGACGCCAUAGAGGGUGAGAGCCCCGUCUGGUCGGACACCGAGCCUCUGUAAAGCUCCUUCAACGAGUCGAGUAGUUUGGGAAUGCUGCUCAAAAUGGGAGGUAUAUGUCUUCUAAAGCUAAAUAUUGGCCAGAGACCGAUAGCGCACAAGUAGAGUGAUCGAAAGAUGAAAAGCACUUUGAAAAGAGGGUUAAAAAGUACGUGAAAUUGUUGAAAGGGAAGCGCCUAUGACCAGACUUGCGCCCGGUGAAUCAUCCAGCGUUCUCGCUGGUGCACUUUGCCGGGCACAGGCCAGCAUCAGUUUGGCGCGGGGGAAAAAGGCUUCGGGAAUGUGGCUCCCUCGGGAGUGUUAUAGCCCGCUGCGUAAUACCCUGCGCCGGACUGAGGUACGCGC